RNAcentral lists this ribosomal RNA (484 nucleotides) under uncultured bacterium. Its description in RNAcentral is "partial 16S ribosomal RNA". It matches the Rfam family "Bacterial small subunit ribosomal RNA", at positions 30 to 507 of the family's 1533-position model. The record is from RNAcentral.
AUUGAACGCUGGCGGCAGGCCUAACACAUGCAAGUCGAGCGGAUGAAGGGAGCUUGCUCCUGGAUUCAGCGGCGGACGGGUGAGUAAUGCCUAGGAAUCUGCCUGGUAGUUGGGGAUAACGUCCGGAAACGGGCGCUAAUACCGCAUACGUCCUGAGGGAGAAAGUGGGGGAUCUUCGGACCUCACGCUAUCAGAUGAGCCUAGGUCGGAUUAGCUAGUUGGUGGGGUAAAGGCCUACCAAGGCGACGAUCCGUAACUGGUCUGAGAGGAUGAUCAGUCACACUGGAACUGAGACACGGUCCAGACUCCUACGGGAGGCAGCAGUGGGGAAUAUUGGACAAUGGGCGAAAGCCUGAUCCAGCCAUGCCGCGUGUGUGAAGAAGGUCUUCGGAUUGUAAAGCACUUUAAGUUGGGAGGAAGGGCAGUAAGUUAAUACCUUGCUGUCUUGACGUUACCAACAGAAUAAGCACCGGCUAACUUCGUG